AUUGAACGCUGGCGGCAGGCUUAACACAUGCAAGUCGAGCGAGCGGCGGACGGGUGAGUAAUGUCUGGGAAACUGCCUGAUGGAUGGGGUUAACUACUGGAAACGCUAGCUAAUACCGCAUACCAUCAGAUGUGCCCAGAUGGGAUUAGCCAGUAGGUUGGGUAAUGGCUCACCUAGGCGACGAUCCCUAGCUGGUCGGAGAGGAUGACCAGCCACAAUGGAACUGAGACACGGUCCAGACUCCAACGAGAGGCAGCAGGGGGGAAUAUUGGACAAAGGGAGCAGGGCUGAUGCAGCCAAGCCGCGUGUGUGAAGAAGGCCUUCGGGUUGUAAAGCACUUUCAGCGAGGAGGCGUUACUCGCAGAAGAAGCACCGGCUAACUCCGUGCCAGCAGCCGCGGUAAUUC
This 406-nucleotide ribosomal RNA is filed under the name uncultured bacterium. RNAcentral describes it as "partial 16S ribosomal RNA". It matches the Rfam family "Bacterial small subunit ribosomal RNA", at positions 30 to 526 of the family's 1533-position model. The record is from RNAcentral.